RNAcentral lists this small RNA (132 nucleotides) under Salmonella enterica subsp. enterica. RNAcentral's name for it is "RtT sRNA". It matches the Rfam family "RtT RNA". From Rfam's summary of the family: This family represents a bacterial cis-regulatory element known as RtT RNA. The record is from RNAcentral. Lineage: Bacteria; Pseudomonadati; Pseudomonadota; Gammaproteobacteria; Enterobacterales; Enterobacteriaceae.
AUUCUACCCAUGCGGGGAAGGAUGAGAAGCUUCGACUAAGGUUCGAUUCGAGCGAAAGCGAGAAAGCGUUGCCGCAGGCAACGACCCGAAGGGCGAAGCGCGCAACGCUGAGUCAUCCUUCCCCCACCAUAA